Molecule: long non-coding RNA, 385 nt
Organism: Culex quinquefasciatus (southern house mosquito)
Lineage: Eukaryota; Metazoa; Arthropoda; Insecta; Diptera; Culicidae
Exons: 3
Source: RefSeq, a predicted model, not a curated record
UUUACUCUCGAACAGCUGUUCGAGGUCACGCAGGACAAUGACUCGGUGGAACCAAAAUCUAAGGUUGACCGAUGCUGUUGGUGGAGGUAUCGGUUCGGCCGUCAUCGUAAGAACCGGGUCCAGAUAAGAACUACUGGGCAGGGCACAUCAACUCGAAAAACGCGUCGCGACUGGAACCCGAGAAUCAUUAAUGUGGCAUUUGCACUACAUCACAGGAAGCGUGCACUGUUUAUUUUGAUGUUGAUUCACUUUUGACGUAGGACUAUUUUGUCCGGUUCUGCUGACGGCAUAAAAUAUCGGACGGAGCGUCAAUCUUGAUGUCGGGGAUCUCGCAUGCCUUAAACAGUGCGCUGCUGCGGUUUCGUUAUCAUCGCAGAUUUGUAGC